CAACUCGACUCCAUGAAGUCGGAAUCGCUAGUAAUCGCAGGUCAGAAUACUGCGGUGAAUACGUUCCCGGGCCUUGUACACACCGCCCGUCACACCAUGGGAGUGGGAUGCAAAAGAAGUAGUUAGUUUAACCUUCGGGAGAACGAUUACCACUUUGUGUUUCAUGACUGGGGUGAAGUCGUAACAAGGUAACCCUAGGGGAACCUGGGGU
Molecule: ribosomal RNA, 211 nt
Filed under: uncultured gamma proteobacterium CHAB-XII-20
Lineage: Bacteria; Pseudomonadati; Pseudomonadota; Gammaproteobacteria
Description: partial 16S ribosomal RNA
Rfam family: Bacterial small subunit ribosomal RNA
Source: RNAcentral